AUGGACCGAUCGGGGGGGGGCACAGCCCCCCCCCAGGCCUCCCCCCCUCCCCAAGCACAUCCUCCCCUCAACGUGACCCCUCGCCCCCCCCCCCCCAGGACACAGAGCUGGCACCCCGGUUGGAUGCUGUGGAGGGGGGGGCCGGACAGAAAUGCCCCCCCUCCAAAUGUGAGCCAUACUGGGGAGCAAAGAGGGGGUACGCUGGAAGCCCCCCCCCCCCCCAUCCCCAGCUCUUCCUCUUGGGACUCACCUGGAGCACCGGCCAGGGGGGGCCACUUGCCUUUGGGCCCCCCCCCCACGGACUCAACCCUGGCCCCGCAGCGAGGUUCGCCCCUCCGAUUCGGUGCCCAGGACACCACGGACCUUCACCGUGGGGGGGGACCACAAGUCCCCCCCCAUCGCGCCCCCCCCCCCCCCCCCCAGUGCCACCACAGCCGGGCAGGAGGGAACCCCUCAGCCUUUGCCAAGCCCUGCAGCGGGCAUGGGGGGGGACGGGCAGCAGCCCCCACCACAGCCCCCCAGGGAUGCGGGGACAGGGCUGGGGGGGUGCCCCCAGUGCCCCCCCCCCCAGCACCUGCCACUACCCUCCCCGAGCCCAGGGCUUUCGCCUUCCCUGGGCAAAGGGGGGGACACACACGGGGGUCCCCCUCCAGGGUGGGGGCGAUGUUCUCACCCGCCCCCCCCAACUGUAAAUAUCCCCCCCCCCCAAUAAAUCACAGUAUUUCUCUGGGGCUGGGACACCCCCCACCACUGGCCAACCCCAGCUGGGUUGGGGGGUCCCAGCCCCUCGGCCCAGGGGGAACCCCUUUAUUUUUUGUUUCUGUUUUGCCCCCCCCCCUCCCGAAGUACCGAGUCUCCGACAGUAACUGGAUGUGGGGGCAACUGGGAGCCAGAGCUGGUUAUACUGGGAGGGGGAGGAGGGGGGCACGCAAGGGGGGGGGGGAUGGGGAGGGGGGGGUCCGACUGGAUUGGAGCCACUUUGGGGGGGGGGGGGAGUAUUUAAGGGGGGGACGGGGAGCAAGAGCCCCGGGGGGGUGCUGGGGUUAUUUAAUCUCACACGUAUACCUGUGGGUGUAUAUACUAUAUAUAUAUGUACGUAUGUAUGUACUGGUCCUCGUUUUGUAA
RNAcentral lists this long non-coding RNA (1125 nucleotides) under Aquila chrysaetos chrysaetos. RNAcentral describes it as "lncRNA (ENSACCG00020011455.1)". Lineage: Eukaryota; Metazoa; Chordata; Aves; Accipitriformes; Accipitridae. The record is from RNAcentral.